GGAGGCGGCCGGACGGUCGCGGGCGCAUCGGUCGAAAGGCCGCGUCCGAGGAAAGUCCGAGCUCCUCAGAGCAGGCUAGCGGGUAACGCCCGUCCGCCGUGAGGCGAGGACCAGCGCCACAGUGACGAUUCCCGCCGGUUCGCCGGCGGGAGUGAAACGCGGCAAGCUCUAGCCGGAGCAAGACCGAAUAGGGGAGCGAAAGGCGGCCUCCGGGCCGCAGCAGGUGGCUCGCUCAGCUCCCGGGUAGGUCGCAGAGAUGGAUGGCCGUCCAUGAGCCCGAUGCGAAUCGGUCUCGGGACAGAACUCGGCUUAUAGGCCGCCCUCCAGG
RNAcentral lists this RNase P RNA (328 nucleotides) under Chloroflexota bacterium. RNAcentral's name for it is "RNase P RNA component class A". It matches the Rfam family "Bacterial RNase P class A". Rfam says of the family: Ribonuclease P (RNase P) is a ubiquitous endoribonuclease, found in archaea, bacteria and eukarya as well as chloroplasts and mitochondria. Its best characterised activity is the generation of mature 5'-ends of tRNAs by cleaving the 5'-leader elements of precursor-tRNAs. The record is from RNAcentral. Lineage: Bacteria; Bacillati; Chloroflexota.